GCCGGCGUGGCGCAAUGGUAGCGCGUAGCUUUCCUAUGAUGUAUGAAGUCUUAAAGGAAAGGCUGAAGUUGCGGGUUCGAUCCCCGUCGUCGGUU
Non-coding RNA from Gymnopus androsaceus JB14, 95 nucleotides. NCBI's taxonomy places the organism in Eukaryota, Fungi, Basidiomycota, Agaricomycetes, Agaricales, Omphalotaceae. The record is from the annotation of a GenBank genome assembly.